UACCAUCACCCCGAGUGGUCGGGACGUUUAUUGGGCCUAAAGCAUCCGUAGCCGGUUCUACAAGUCUUCCGUUAAAUCCACCUGCUUAACAGAUGGGCUGCGGAAGAUACUAUAGAGCUAGGAGGCGGGAGAGGCAAGCGGUACUCGAUGGGUAGGGGUAAAAUCCGUUGAUCCAUUGAAGACCACCAGUGGCGAAGGCGGCUUGCCAGAACGCGCUCGACGGUGAGGGAUGAAAGCUGGGGGAGCAAACCGG
This 253-nucleotide ribosomal RNA is filed under the name uncultured bacterium. RNAcentral's name for it is "partial 16S ribosomal RNA". It matches the Rfam family "Archaeal small subunit ribosomal RNA", at positions 474 to 727 of the family's 1478-position model. The record is from RNAcentral.